This 497-nucleotide ribosomal RNA is filed under the name uncultured bacterium. RNAcentral's name for it is "partial 16S ribosomal RNA". It matches the Rfam family "Bacterial small subunit ribosomal RNA", at positions 28 to 507 of the family's 1533-position model. The record is from RNAcentral.
GACGAACGCUGGCGGCGUGCCUAAUACAUGCAAGUUGAGCGCUGAAGGUUGGUACUUGUACCAACUGGAUGAGCAGCGAACGGGUGAGUAACGCGUGGGGAAUCUGCCUUUGAGCGGGGGACAACAUUUGGAAACGAAUGCUAAUACCGCAUAAAAACUUUAAACACAAGUUUUAAGUUUGAAAGAUGCAAUUGCAUCACUCAAAGAUGAUCCCGCGUUGUAUUAGCUAGUUGGUGAGGUAAAGGCUCACCAAGGCGAUGAUACAUAGCCGACCUGAGAGGGUGGUCCGCCACAAUGGGACUGGGACACGGCCCAAACUCCUACGGGAGGCAGCAGUAGGGAAUCUUCGGCAAUGGACGAAAGUCUGGCCGAGCAACGCCGCGUGAGUGAAGAAGGUUUUCGGAUCGUAAAACUCUGUUGGUAGAGAAGAAAGUGGGUGAGGGUGGAAAGCUCAUCAAGUGACGGUAACUACCCAGAAAGGGACGGCUAACUACGUG